Molecule: non-coding RNA, 3128 nt
Organism: Lolium perenne
Lineage: Eukaryota; Viridiplantae; Streptophyta; Magnoliopsida; Poales; Poaceae
Source: RefSeq, a predicted model, not a curated record
UUAGACAUUAUUAGGUUGUUGAACGCCAUUCCAGGGGGUGCCUUUGUACGUGAACCAGAUCUUGAAAAGCAGGAUGUGGAUGGACUCUGUCUACUUUGUAUGUGUCUACUUUGUGGAUACGCUGCUGCAGGAUGUGGAUGGACUCUGUCUAGACUUUUGUAUGUGUCUACUUUGUGGAUAUGCCGCUGCAGGAUGUGGAUGGACUCUGUCUAGACCUUGGUCAUCUGCCCUGUCUUCCUCCUCUUUCGGUUGGCGGGGGUUUGUGGAUGAAGCAUUCGAGUUGGUCAAUAGCUUCUACCGAAGGACAUCAUGCUCAGACCUCCCAAGCAUCAGAUGGAAACACUACAUGGACAGUAGGAUUAUUGCAAUGAAGUCGAUUGUUUGAAGAUGAUGGUGGAGCUCUAAACACUAUGCGUGCAAAUCUGAGGAAGAAUCUCACGGAAGGGUUUCACGAAAGAGAACAAGGUCGGUGCUGGCCAUGAUGGACGGUUGAACAGAUAAACCAUGGCACCGCUUAGGCAAGGUCGUCAAAUUAGCUGAUAAAUAUGGAUUCCCAACAUAUAUUUUUGAGAAUAUUUGAUACUUAUUAGUCAUUAUUCUGCAUCGAGCAGAAUGCCACCGCUGCCCAGGGCCAUGUGAGUCAUUCUGGGCAUCAAUGUGCUAUAUCGUACAUCCUCCUCUUGCAGCUAUUAAACUGGCUCAUGGUGUCGAUAGCCUUAUAUUGGAAAUUAAGAAUGGCUCUCUAUUUUUGGCGGAACAGGAAGGGAGCAAGCAGGAAACAGUGAGAACGUUCGGAAUGGUGGUUCUGCAACAAUACAUCAUUUCUUUGUCCUAGAUUUGUUAAUGGAAUUGGAAAAGAGAUGUUGGUGUUGUCCCUGUCUAAUAGAUGACACAUUGUACAGGUUGGUCUGGGCUGGAGCAUUGGAGCUCUUGCGCGGCUGCGCCCCAAAGUCGUGCAAAUGGCUUCUACUGUCAUUAUUCUGCAUCGAGCAGAAUGCCACCGCUGCCCAGGACCAUGUGAGUCAUUCUGGGCAUCAAUGUGCUAUAUCGUAGAUCCUCCUCUUGCAGCUAUUAAACUGGCUCAUGGUGUCGAUAGCCUUAUAUUGGAGAUUAAGAAUGGCUCUCUAUUUUUGGCGGAACAGGAAGGGAGCAAGCAGGAAACAGUGAGAACGUUCGGAAUGGUGGUUCUGCAACAAUACAUCAUUUCUUUGUCCUAGGUUGGUCUGGGCUGGAGCAUUGGAGCUCUUGCGCGGCUGCGCCCCAAAGUCGUGCAAAUGGCUUCUACUGAAUAUUGCAAAUUGGGAGCUAUUCACAAGUCUUAUUUAUUCUGGUGUGGAGGUGUUAACCGCACACCACCAUUAGCAGGUCAAGUAACUCUCUGAACUUAUGUCAUUAGUACUGGAUUGGGUCUUUUAUUUUCCGUCACUGCCUGUCACGUCACAUCCUCACCAUCUCUGCACAGCACCUGCAGUACGCCACUCGCUAUCCUUUCCACGAUGACAGCGACAUCGGCUGUAUCUUGGAUGGGUUUUCUGCUAUCCUCACCUCAUGAGGCCAUUAACUAGCUUGAUGAGGCGGGCAUCAGCCGAAGGUUGGAGCCAACAGAGCCAACAUUAGGUGCUAUGGCGUGGCCUUCUUCUCUUCUCAGGAAAUCAAGUUUUUGCGAACGGAACAUAGCUUGCUUGCUCUCAAACACGUGUAGAGUUUCUCCUCUUUCAUUCUAUGGCUGAUCGCUGGCAAAGCUCUGAAAUCAUUUGGAUUGUGGUUAUUCAAGCUAUGGUACCAGGAAGGAUUUGAGGUGGUAGAAAUGGCAGGACCACGAUUGUCGCAAAAAUGGUGAGAUAAGGCCAGCAAUCUGCUCUGUUCUCAACAGUGUCUUUGAGUACCUGCCAAAUGGGUCUCUUUACGAGCAUCUUCAAGAUGGGAAGGAUGUCAGCUAUCUUGGCCCUGUCGGGUGGAGAUCGUGCGCAUUCUAAGUCACUUGCAAACUGACAUGCAGCUUCCAUUCGCCGUCGCCGCUGAAUCAUGCUUUCAUGUACAGAGUGACUAUUAUUUUUCUUCUUAAUAUUGAGAGCAUUGUUAAUCUGCAGUUUGCACGUGGAGAAAUAAUGCUUAGUUUGAUGUUAGUCUCUUCUACAAAUAUGUCUGUCAUUCUAUUGAAUGUGUUAUAAUGACACACUUGCUGAAGCAGCUACACUUAAUAUUCAGGUGAUCAUAAUCAUGUUUGUUUCUGUAUUUUGAUGUCAUUCUCUGUGCUAAAUGUAAACAUGAGUUCUGCAUAUUUAGUAAAGAAGAUAAUAGAGACGAACUAGAAAACUUCGGUCUUGCUAAAUGGAAGGCUGACAAUGCCGGAAUACUGGUAUGGACAAAGUCUGUAAAUCCCAUGCUACUGUUAACUCUGUUUCAUAAUGUGCUACCCUUCUGCUCUUGUAUUUCUAGCAAUGCCAAGAUUUUUUUGUAAUGUCUAUUGUAAAAAUACUUAGCAUAGUUUCUCUUAGAAUGGACGUAUGCUUUUCCUUUCACAGUUUUGUUUUGCUGACGAAGCUUAGGUAAUGUAUUUUCCAGGUACACUCCUGAAAACCUGUAUUCCAGAAUCCGGUACACUCCAGAAGGUGCUGCUUGUGAAUUGGCCUUCAUGCUUUGCAAAUGGAGGCAUGAAGAUGGCCUGCAAGGAUCCUUUGGAUUGGCUUGUCCCUUACUUAGGCCAGUGAGGUUUGUUACCCUUUUAGAUUGGAAACGAUCCAGUGGCUGCUCAGCAAAAAGUUUCAGAUAAAAAGGGUACAUAGUGUAAUUAGAAGCUUUAACUUAAAUCUUUGUACCACACAUACUACUGAUACUUACUUGAACAGUGUGCAUUUUGAGGUAUUGUACCACACAUACUACUGAUACUUGCUUGAACAGUGUGACAGAACUAAUAUUUGUUGCAUCGAUCAUGUAUUUCUUGUUGAUUUUUGGCGGAAGAGCUUAUACAAAAGCAUGAAAGCUGAAAAAUAGUGUGAAAUCAUACUAAAUAAUGUAAAAUACUAAAGCAAUUAAAUUUUGGGCUAAUUUUUAAUAUAAAAUAAGCUAACAUUUAUGGUUUAAAUGUUGACUUAACUUUGCCAUUUGCGCGAUAGCGCAACGGGUCA